ACAAAAAGAAACGGUAUCGUGUUGAGGAAGGAAACAAGCUUUAUUAGAGCAAAGGGAAAUAAAUCCUGGGCUUGUCAGUGGUACAGAUGAACUCCAGAGGCUCUGGGCCUGUCUGUCGUCGCCAGAGGUUGGGUAACCAGCUCUGCGUAGCGGGGCGACCUCAGAUGCCGGCCAGUAGGGAGAGUGGGUGACUUACAGGGAAGGAAAACUGAAAACAGCCGAGAGCUUUCAUCUAUCAAAGAAUCAAGGACCCGGAAGUCGUGGUGUAACAGUGUGGGAGGCAGCUGGGCCGGAAGGAUGCUCGUUCCCCUUUACGAGCCCACAUUCGACCUGUAGCCUGAAGUCGUGUGACUGUCGUGUGGCUGAGUGGCACGUUGAAGAUGAAAGAUUUGACAGUGGCUGAGGACAGAGGCGGGACUUCGGUAUGUGGAGUGAGUGCGGAAGUGGGACACUCUCUCCUCUAAGACAAGAAUACACUGGGCAGAGGUGUCAAAAAACAACCACUGCAGGACUCAGGAAGUACAACAGCUGCCAGCGUCAAAUUGAGAAGCGUUUUGCCUCGAGCUGUGGUGUGGGUCCCACAUGCAGCUUGGAUCUGGUGUGGCUGUGGCUGUGGCCAGCAGCUGCAGCUCCGAGGUGACCCCUAGCCUGGGAAUUUCCAGAUGCCGCAGGUAAGGCCAUAAAAACUGCUACUGCCACCGCCACCACUACCACUACUACUAAAUUGAGAAGCAUCUGGAGUUCCUGUCGUGGCGCAGUGGUUGACGAAUCCGACUAGGAACCAUGAGGUUUCGGGUUCGGUCCCUGCCCUUGCUCAGUGGGUUAACGAUCCGGCGUUGCUGUGAGCUGUGGUGUAGGUUGCAGACGCGGCUCGGAUCCCGCGUUGCUGUGGCUCUGGUGUAGGCCUGUGGCUACAGCUCCAAUUAGACCCCUAGCCUGGGAAUCUCCAUAUGCCGCGAGAGCGGCCGAAGAAAUAGCAAAAAGACAAAAAAAAAAAAAAAAA
Molecule: long non-coding RNA, 1003 nt
Filed under: Sus scrofa (pig)
Lineage: Eukaryota; Metazoa; Chordata; Mammalia; Artiodactyla; Suidae
Description: lncRNA (ENSSSCG00015066134.1)
Source: RNAcentral